This 586-nucleotide ribosomal RNA is filed under the name uncultured bacterium. RNAcentral describes it as "bacterial SSU rRNA". It matches the Rfam family "Bacterial small subunit ribosomal RNA", at positions 102 to 684 of the family's 1533-position model. The record is from RNAcentral.
ACGGGUGAGUAAUGCCUAGGAAUCUGCCUGGUAGUGGGGGACAACGUUUCGAAAGGAACGCUAAUACCGCAUACGUCCUACGGGAGAAAGCAGGGGACCUUCGGGCCUUGCGCUAUCAGAUGAGCCUAGGUCGGAUUAGCUAGUUGGUGAGGUAAUGGCUCACCAAGGCGACGAUCCGUAACUGGUCUGAGAGGAUGAUCAGUCACACUGGAACUGAGACACGGUCCAGACUCCUACGGGAGGCAGCAGUGGGGAAUAUUGGACAAUGGGCGAAAGCCUGAUCCAGCCAUGCCGCGUGUGUGAAGAAGGUCUUCGGAUUGUAAAGCACUUUAAGUUGGGAGGAAGGGCAGUAACUUAAUACGUUGCUGUUUUGACGUUACCGACAGAAUAAGCACCGGCUAACUCUGUGCCAGCAGCCGCGGUAAUACAGAGGGUGCAAGCGUUAAUCGGAAUUACUGGGCGUAAAGCGCGCGUAGGUGGUUUGUUAAGUUGGAUGUGAAAUCCCCGGGCUCAACCUGGGAACUGCAUUCAAAACUGACAAGCUAGAGUAUGGUAGAGGGUGGUGGAAUUUCCUGUGUAGCGGUGA